Molecule: ribosomal RNA, 497 nt
Filed under: uncultured bacterium
Lineage: Bacteria
Description: partial 16S ribosomal RNA
Rfam family: Bacterial small subunit ribosomal RNA
Source: RNAcentral
GAUGAAUGCUGGCGGCGUGCCUAAUACAUGCAAGUCGAGCGAACAGACGAGGAGCUUGCUCCUCUGACGUUAGCGGCGGACGGGUGAGUAACACGUGGAUACCCUACCUAUAAGACUGGGAUAACUUCGGGAAACCGGAGCUAAUACCGGAUAAUAUAUUGAACCGCAUGGUUCAAUAGUGAAAGACGGUUUUGCUGUCACUUAUAGAUGGAUCCGCGCCGCAUUAGCUAGUUGGUAAGGUAACGGCUUACCAAGGCAACGAUGCGUAGCCGACCUGAGAGGGGGAUCGGCCACACGGGAGCUGAGACACGGUCCAGACUCCUACGGGAGGCAGCAGUAGGGAAUCGUCCGCAAUGGGCGAAAGCCUGACGGAGCAACGCCGCGUGAGUGAUGAAGGUCUUCGGAUCGUAAAACUCUGUUAUUAGGGAAGAACAAAUGUGUAAGUAACUAUGCACGGCUUGACGGUACCUAAUCAGAAAGCCACGGCUAACUACGUG